RNAcentral lists this ribosomal RNA (500 nucleotides) under uncultured bacterium. RNAcentral describes it as "bacterial SSU rRNA". It matches the Rfam family "Bacterial small subunit ribosomal RNA", at positions 29 to 524 of the family's 1533-position model. The record is from RNAcentral.
AUGAACGUUGGCGGCACGCCUAAUACAUGCAAGUCGAACGAGAAAGCACCUUCGGGUGUGAGUAAAGUGGCGGACGGGUGAGUAACGCGUAGGAAUCUACCUGGUAGUGGGGGACAACUCGGGGAAACUCGAGCUAAUACCGCAUAAUACUCUACGGAGAAAAGUGGGGGAUCUUCGGACCUCACGCUAUCAGAGGAGCCUGCGUUGGAUUAGCUUGUUGGUGAGGUAAAGGCUCACCAAGGCGACGAUCCAUAGCUGGUCUGAGAGGACGAUCAGCCACACUGGAACUGAGACACGGUCCAGACUCCUACGGGAGGCAGCAGUAGGGAAUCUUGGGCAAUGGGCGAAAGCCUGACCCAGCGAUGCCGCGUGUGUGAAGAAGGCCUUAGGGUUGUAAAGCACUUUCAGCAGUGAAGAAAAGUCGGGGGCUAAUAUCCCUCGGUCAUGACGUUAACUGCACAAGAAGUACCGGCUAACUCCGUGCCAGCAGCCGCGGUAAU